UACGUAGGGCGCAAGCGUUGUCCGGAAUUAUUGGGCGUAAAGAGCUCGUAGGCGGCUUGUCACGUCGAUUGUGAAAGCCCGAGGCUUAACCUCGGGUCUGCAGUCGAUACGGGCUAGCUAGAGUGUGGCAGGGGAGAUCGGAAUUCCUGGUGUAGCGGUGAAAUGCGCAGAUAUCAGGAGGAACACCGGUGGCGAAGGCGGGUCUCUGGGCCGAUACUGACGCUGAGGAGCGAAAGCGUGGGGAGCGAACAGG
This 253-nucleotide ribosomal RNA is filed under the name uncultured bacterium. Its description in RNAcentral is "partial 16S ribosomal RNA". It matches the Rfam family "Bacterial small subunit ribosomal RNA", at positions 524 to 776 of the family's 1533-position model. The record is from RNAcentral.